This 528-nucleotide ribosomal RNA is filed under the name uncultured bacterium. RNAcentral's name for it is "bacterial LSU rRNA". It matches the Rfam family "Bacterial large subunit ribosomal RNA", at positions 14 to 580 of the family's 2925-position model. The record is from RNAcentral.
AGUGCAUGUGGUGGAUGCCGUUGGCGAUUACAGGCGAUGAAGGACGUUGUAGCCUGCGAAAAGCUGCGGGGAGCUGGCAAACAAGCUUUGAUCCGCAGAUGUCCGAAUGGGGAAACCCACUCCGCAAGGAGUAUCCCUGACUGAAUACAUAGGUCAGUGGAAGCGAACCCGGCGAACUGAAACAUCUAAGUAGCCGGAGGAAAAGAAAUCAACCGAGAUUCCCUAAGUAGUGGCGAGCGAACAGGGACCAGCCUGCAAGAGAUAACUAUUUUGUUAGUGGAACGCUCUGGAAAGUGCGGCCGUAGUGGGUGAUAGCCCCGUACGCGAAAACAAAGUAGCGAGACUAAGUUUUGCGACAAGUAGGGCGGGACACGUGAAAUCCUGUCUGAAGAUGGGGGGACCAUCCUCCAAGGCUAAAUACUCGUAAUCGACCGAUAGUGAACCAGUACCGUGAGGGAAAAGGCGAAAAGAACCCCGGGAGGGGAGUGAAAUAGAUCCUGAAACCGCAUGCAUACAAACAGUGGGAGC